This is a long non-coding RNA of Gallus gallus (chicken), 3014 nucleotides long. RefSeq lists it as uncharacterized. NCBI's taxonomy places the organism in Eukaryota, Metazoa, Chordata, Aves, Galliformes, Phasianidae. The transcript has 2 exons. The record is from RefSeq and is a predicted model, not a curated record.
CUCCUUCAGCGCCCUGCAGUCCCCAGCAGGUUGGUGACCAGAAUUUGGGGACAGAGCCCACAGCAUUCAGCUCCCACUUACCUCUGGGCUGAGGAGGUGCCCCCCAGACUCCACAGCUCUGGAGGAGAAGCAGCAAAGAGAGUGGCAAGGCGCAGAAAAUCCCGUCCAUGGCUGCGGAGGAGCCGCCGGAGGUUGGAUGCAGAAUGGCACACGGGAGCCUUGGCCCUGAGGCUUCCUUUGAUGUUCCCAUGUAUUUCCAGGCCCCCAUUUUUCAAAUAUUCAGAGAAAUAGUGACCAAAGCAGCCAUUUAGUCAGAGCUCCAAUUCUCAUGUUUCAUCCCCGUGAUGUUUCUGUAUCAGUUAUGGGGUGCAGAGGAGCUCUUCCUGGCUUGCUUCAUUAUCAGAAAGGAUAUUUACUGUGCCACUAUUGUACUGCAGAAGUGAUAUUUGCAGUGAAGGAAUUGGUGCAAAGCACAAAACAGAUUAUGGAAACGGUGAAAGACUGCAGAGAGACGAAUGGCUUUAAAUACAACCUUUUUGACAACUCAAGAUCAAAAGAAGUACUGUUUAUCCUUUAAGCUGCAAAUGGCUGGCAAAUAUCCUUCUACUCUGAUGCUGUAAAUAGUAAAUGCUGUUUAUGACUAGUCAAUGUUUAUGUAUUUUAUGGGUCACAUUUAUUUCAGAGGGAUCAUUUUUUAUUUGCUGUGUUAACCUUGCCCACAUUCCCCCAGGGCCAAGUCGCCUCCUGGGUGCUAUUCCUGGCUCUGAUGUUGGCCUCUUGGAAGGGUUGGGUAGCUCUGCGCCUCAAAUUCUGCACCAGCAUUGUUGGCCUGGCCCAGAGGGCUAUAGCUGUUCUGCUAAAUUGCUUGGAUGAAGCAGCAAUGUAAGACUUGUAAAAGUUGAAGGUCACUGUGAAUGCAGCUCGUUUUCUCCAGCAAAUGAGCAAACAUAUCAACUGGACCAAGGCAAACCUUACAAAAGGACCAUGGCACAAAGGCACAGCGGUAAAGACUGUGGGAUGGUCUAAGAAGAGCUAUGUAACAUCAUUCUCAGUAGCAGCAGUGCUACAAAACACUGGCAGACAGAGGGAUGAGGGAGAUCCUUGGCUGCAGUCCAUGAGGUGUCUGGCCUGAUGGAUGGGCACCUAGACGGAAAGCCAAAGGCAACGAAAGGCUUUGGGCUGAUGCAUGACCACACUUGUCAUCUUCCGUCAUCCUGGGCCAACCACUGGGGACAGCAGUUGCAGUGACUUCGUUUGGCUGAUACGUGUAAUUACUUUAAUGAACUGUCUGCAGGAAAGCUAAAGAAAAACACGUCUUGUAAUGAUGUUUGAUUAGUGCAAUUAUCAUGGCAGCUGUCCCAGGCUCUAAGUCUGAUCCUGGAUGGUUUGUAGGUGCCACUCAAAGCAGCAGGAAUGGAGGCAGCAAGACAACCAGGCAGGGCAGUGCAGUCCCUGCAUUGUGCAGGGCGGUCUGCGGUGACUGAGUCCUGGAGAGCUGCCACACGUCCAUCACCCGGGGUUCCCUCAGCUGCUCUGGAGCAGCUCAGCACAUGGGCUUGAAUCAUUGAGGAUGUGCCAGGGAAUUCUGCCAAGUUGCUGUCUUUGCCCUCUUCAAGGUCUAUUUAUGCUCUCUUAUGGACAUCAGAAGACUCUUGGGACAGAGGAGGCAUUUCCAUGAUGGUGGAUGCUACAGCUGGAUCUGCCUGAUUUUGAGUGCAGUCGUUCCUGUUGCAUUAUGCAUGGUUUUUGCCAAGUUGCUAGAAUUCGCAUCAUGUUUCCAGAUGCUAUUUCGAAGUCUGAUAGAAUCUGGCACCAGAAAAAUGCUUCUGAUCCUCCCCAGGUUCUGCAUCCACCAUAUUUUCUGCUGGCUUUGGUGCAGUUUACCCUCUAAUACUAUUUGUAGAAUCAUAAUUUUUUUGUCAAAGUCUGACAAAAUAUUAUGGCCUGGGUUUCUGGGGCAGCCCGUACUGGCUUCCUUCACCAGAAAACAUUCCUGAUCACCAGACAGGUUUAUCACACAUGUUCCUACAAGGCUGUGAGUGGUGCAUGGGAAGGCUUCCAGCACCUCUCUUGGGUUUGCAGCAUUGAUUCAGCAGGACCAGCUCAAGGCCAAGGGAAAGAGCCUCAAGAAAAAACAUCAAUAAAACAAAUACUUCCACAAUGAAAGAGGUUCAAAAAUAACUACAUUUCAUCAAUAAAACAGAUACUUCUGCAGUGACAGUGAGCACAACCUUGUCUCUUCCAGCCACGAGGACUACCUGCAGGCAGUCUUUAUAGACAUAGGCAUGGGUUGAUGGUUGGACUAGAUGAUCCUAGUGAUCUUUCCAAUCCUAAUGAUUCUAUGAUUUUCUUGGACCUUUAGAUGCAUUUCUUGCAGCCUUGAGUACUGAUCCUGGUUCUGAAGCAGACCAGGAUCACCCUCAACUAUUUUGCAGUUUCUCUCCCCUCCUUUAUGUCCGUGGUUAUUGCAGAAGUUGUUUCCUCUUUAUUUACACCUCAGUUUCCCUUUCUGUGGCAUAGGGAGAGCAGCGAUGUAUGUUUGGUUAAGUUUCUUCUUUUACAGCAGAUAGUCAAAUAACCAGCUGAAAGCAAUGGCACAUGGAUGCCUACAGAAGAACAAUAAAUUGAACCUAUGAGAAGUGUUCAAAGCAAUGUGAAAGACAAUACAGACCUAUUUCUACUCAUGUGAAACACUUUUCCAUCCAAGUUUCUUAAUUUCCUCUCUACAAAAGGGGAAGUGGGAGUUGUGUAAACAAAACCAAAACAAAAAAAGUCCUGUUUCAGGUCAGAUGAGGGAAAUCACAGUCAGAUGGGGAAUCUGAUGGACAUCUUGACUCCUAGAGCACAUCUGCCUCCAUGAGAUGCUGCUUCUAGAGGAGGUCCUGUCCCUCUCACACCUAACCUGUCAGUGCUGACAUCGUCUGCCCAGUCUUCUGCCUAUAUCAAAGAAUUGCUGUUCAUUUGUCCUCUGCACUGAAAAAAAAGAAAAAAAAAAAAAAAAAAGGAAGUGUGGA